GUCACGCCCCCUGCUUGCUGCCUCUGGCUUUUUUUUUUUUUUUUCUUUUCCUUUUUGGCCAAGAGGCCUGAGCUCAGUCACCCCAAAACUUCUCCCGGCAAAGCAGCCCCUUGUUUAAGCCCCAGGGCCCGACGGUCCGUCCCCCACCAGCCCGCCAGCUCCGCAGGCCCUUCCAGGGGGGCCUGGCGCCCGGGGCGCGCCCCCCCCUCUCCGCCGGCGGGGCUAGCGGCUGCCCGAGGGGGCGCACGGGGGUCAGGGCGCCCCCAGAACCAGCGGGCGGACCCAGACCCAGAACACCCCGGAAGCUGUCGUUCCCGUGUCCCUGCGACGUCCCUCUUCUUAGGAGCAGGUCCUUCAAGGACCCUAAUAGGCGCUUCCCAGGGGGGUGGCCCCAGCCCCGCAGCCCGCUGCUCAGCCCGGCCGUCGGCGCCCGGGAAGGGGGUGCGCACCCUGCCCCGCCCCGGGGCGCCCCCGGCACCUGCGCCUCCCCCCGCGCCCGCACCCCGUAGGGCGUCCUCGAAGGGCAGCCCUGCCCGGGGCCUCCCGCGGGACCUAGGAGCUCGGGGUGUGCAACCUCCGGCCCCCCACGGGGACCUAGGAGCUCGGGGUGUGCAUCCUCCGCCCCCCCACGGGGACCUGGGAGCUCGGGGUGUGCAUCCUCCGCCCCCCCACGGGGACCUAGGAGCUCGGGGUGUGCAUCCUCCGCCCCCCCACGGGGACCUAGGAGCUCGGGGUGUGCAUCCUCCGCCCCCCCACGGGGACCUAGGAGCUCGGGGUGUGCAUCCUCCCCCCCCCCCCCCGCGGGACCAGAGAGCCUGGGGUGUGCAUCCCCCGCCCCCCAACGGGGACCUAGGAGCUCGGGGUGUGCAUUCUCCGCUCCCCCACGGGGACCUGGGAGCUCGGGGUGUGCAUCCUCCGCCCCCCCACGGGGACCUGGGAACUCAGGGUGCCCGCCCCGCCUCCCGACAGAACCUGGGAGCCCGGGGUGUCCACACCCCCGCGGACCUGGAGCCCGGGUGUCCGCCCCCUGAGUGUGGGCCCCCCCACCCCUGCCUAGGGGACCCCGAGCCCGGCCCAGGCAGCUCCCGCCGGCCCGCCCCGGGGCGCACAGUCCCUCCGGGGGCAACAAAAGGGACGCUGGGCUGCGCGGAGUUUCGCUCGGGGUCUCCUCGCUCGGACCCCGCGGAGACGCCCCGGCCCCGCCCCGGCCCGCCCCGCCCCGCCCCGGGGGUCCGCGCCCCCGACCCGCGCCGCUCCCCGCGCGGCCGCAACAGGUCCUCGCCGCGGUGCCGGCCACGGGCCUCCCGCCGCCUCCCCCCGCUGGGCGCCCUCCUCCGGGACCCUGCCCUCCCCCGGACCCCUGCCCAAUUCCUGAGGGCGCUGCCCUCCCCCGGACCCCUGCGCCCUCUCCCCGGACCCCUGCCCUCCCCCCCGGACCCCUGCCCAACUCCCGGGGGCGCUGCCCUCCCCCCGGGCCCCUGCGCUCUCCUCCCCAGGGCCCCGCGCCCUCUCCCCGGACCCCUGCCGUCCCCCGGAGCCCCCCGCGCUCUCCCUCCCGGGCCCCUGCCCUCCUCCCCAGGGCCCCGCGCCCUCCCCGGGCCCCGCGCCCCGUCCCCGGACCCCCGCCCCCCGGCCCCCGCGCCCUCCCCGCGGCGGGUCCCCGGGGCCGCUCCCUACCUGCCGGAGGCCGGGCUUGCGCGGGAGGACGGCCGGGGCGCGCGGUCCCCGCAGACCUGCGGGAUCCGCGCAGUGGGGUCGGCUCCGGGCGGGCCGAGCCGCGCGACCUCCUCCUCCGCCGCCUCCUCCGCCUCCUCCUCCGCCUCCGCCGCCGCCGCCGUGCCCGCGGCCCACUCGGAAACUUUCCCGGCGAAGAGUCGCCGCGGCCGCGGGAGCUGGGCCGGGCCGUGCGCCCCGGGACCCGCCGAGGCGGCCGUGGCGGCGCCGGGUGGAGGCCGGGCCUGCGGGCGGCUCGGCUGGGGCCGCGGGGCUCCCCCUCUCGGCCGAGGGGCCCCAGCGCCGCGGGCCGGCGCCCCCCUCCCCGCCCCUCCCCGCCCCCGCGCCCCGCCCCGCCCCGCCCCUCCCCGCCCCGCCCCUCCCCGCCCCGCCCCCUCCCCCCGCCGCUCCGGGGCUGCGCUGGCGGCGGGACGGGGUGCGGCGCGGAGAGCCCGCCGGGGACCUCGAGGCCGCCCCGCCCGGACCGACGGACCCAGGCCCCCGCCCCUCGCGCCCCUCCCGGCCCCGCGCGCCUCGGCGGAGCACCUGCGCCUUCCCUUUCUCUUCGGCGUUUUGUCUUGA
RNAcentral lists this long non-coding RNA (2295 nucleotides) under Canis lupus familiaris (dog). RNAcentral describes it as "lncRNA (ENSCAFG00030011120.1)". The record is from RNAcentral. Lineage: Eukaryota; Metazoa; Chordata; Mammalia; Carnivora; Canidae.